RNAcentral lists this transfer RNA (73 nucleotides) under Piptocephalis cylindrospora. It matches the Rfam family "tRNA". From Rfam's summary of the family: Transfer RNA (tRNA) molecules are approximately 80 nucleotides in length. Their secondary structure includes four short double-helical elements and three loops (D, anti-codon, and T loops). The record is from Rfam by way of RNAcentral. Lineage: Eukaryota; Fungi; Zoopagomycota; Zoopagomycetes; Zoopagales; Piptocephalidaceae.
GCCCCGUUAGCUCAAUCGGUAGAGCGUGGGACUUUUAAUCCCAAGGCUGCGGGUUCGACCCCCGCAUGGGGCG